This 77-nucleotide transfer RNA is filed under the name Clostridia bacterium. Its description in RNAcentral is "tRNA-Arg". It matches the Rfam family "tRNA". Rfam says of the family: Transfer RNA (tRNA) molecules are approximately 80 nucleotides in length. Lineage: Bacteria; Bacillati; Bacillota; Clostridia. The record is from RNAcentral.
GCGCCCAUAGCUCAACAGGAUAGAGCAACACCCUUCUAAGGUGAAGGUUGGGGGUUCGAGUCCCUCUGGGCGCACCA